RNAcentral lists this transfer RNA (168 nucleotides) under Nanobdellota archaeon. RNAcentral's name for it is "tRNA-Leu". Lineage: Archaea; Nanobdellati; Nanobdellota. The record is from RNAcentral.
GCGGGGGUUUCCGAGCGGCCAAAGGAGCUGGGCUUAGGACCCAGUAGCUAAGUGCUUUCGCAGGUUCGAAGUCAAUCCCUUUUACAGGAGCUGACGCUUCCUCAAAGGUCUAGACCUUAUCCCAAAACAAGCAAAUAAAAGGAAUUGAUGAAAAUCCUGCCUCCCGCA